Molecule: small nuclear RNA, 286 nt
Filed under: Octodon degus (degu)
Lineage: Eukaryota; Metazoa; Chordata; Mammalia; Rodentia; Octodontidae
Description: 7SK RNA (ENSODEG00000024300.1)
Rfam family: 7SK RNA
About the family: 7SK was discovered as an abundant small nuclear RNA in the mid-70s but a possible function has only recently been suggested. Two independent studies have found that 7SK RNA binds the CDK9/cyclin T complex (known as elongation factor P-TEFb).
Source: RNAcentral
AAUGGCAGGGCACACUCUGUCUGCAACAUGGCACUCCACUGAUCACCAGGGUUGAUUUGACUGAUCUGGCUGGCGAGGUGAAUGUCCCCUUCCUCCUUCAUUGUUCUGUGUAUCCCUCCCAAAGCUGUACACUCUGUCUGAGAGGGCAAUCACCUGCCAUAGAGGAGGACUAUCAAGAGUACAUGAGUAUCUGUGCUUCCCUGCCAGAACCUCCAAACAAACUCUAGAGUUUUGCCUAUUUAUUCUUCCAGAAGAUUGUUUCCAUUUUAACAUUUAGGUCAUCUGU